RNAcentral lists this ribosomal RNA (510 nucleotides) under uncultured bacterium. RNAcentral's name for it is "bacterial SSU rRNA". It matches the Rfam family "Bacterial small subunit ribosomal RNA", at positions 34 to 518 of the family's 1533-position model. The record is from RNAcentral.
CGCUGGCGGCGUGCCUAAUACAUGCAAGUCGAACGGUCUUUCUAUGGAAGCUUGCUUCCACUGAGAAGAUAGUGGCGAACGGGUGAGUAACACGUGGGUAACCUGCCCAUAAGAGGGGGAUAACAUCCGGAAACGGGUGCUAAUACCGCAUAGUUUUCUUGAUCGCAUGAUCGGGAAAGGAAAGACGGCCUUUGUGCUGUCGCUUAUGGAUGGACCCGCGGCGUAUUAGUUAGUUGGUGAGGUAACGGCUCACCAAGACGAUGAUACGUAGCCGACCUGAGAGGGUGAUCGGCCACAUUGGGACUGAGACACGGCCCAAACUCCUACGGGAGGCAGCAGUAGGGAAUCUUCCGCAAUGGACGAAAGUCUGACGGAGCAACGCCGCGUGAGUGAAGAAGGUUUUCGGAUCGUAAAACUCUGUUGUCAGAGAAGAACAAGUCGGAGAGUAACUGCUCCGGCCUUGACGGUAUCUGACCAGAAAGCCACGGCUAACUACGUGCCAGCCGCCGC